This 209-nucleotide long non-coding RNA is filed under the name Elaeis guineensis (African oil palm). RNAcentral describes it as "long non-coding RNA (EGUI_LNC049267)". Lineage: Eukaryota; Viridiplantae; Streptophyta; Magnoliopsida; Arecales; Arecaceae. The record is from RNAcentral.
GCAUCUAAUGAUAUGAUAUCCAGUUCUGCAACUAACAUUAAAAUCAGAUUUUAUUCUACACAUCUUCAGCGUCCUCAGCUUCCAUUGGUUAGUUGUUUGAAACAUUUUCAAUAUACCGAACCAAUGUUGUAUAAGAAUACAUCCUGAUGUAGACAUUCCAUCAUCAGCAUCCGUGUAUCCUCCCACUCCUAGCUCUGUCCAUUCUCCAA